CCUAAAACAUCUCGUUCUAACAUGCCCCCACAUCUCUACGUCACGAUGUGGGAAGAUUUGCAUUGCGCCACCAAAAUGUUCACGUUUCAUUGUGAAAGCGAAACUACUUUGUUUGGCCUUCCAAAAGAGGACACAACUAGAAAUCAGUGGUUAAGUUGUAUUAUCAACACUGUUCCAGAACAGUUCAACCCAAAUAUUCAGAUGUGUGCUGCGCAUUUUACGGAGGAAGCAGACUGUUUCCUGAACCAGUAGCCUGCAAUGCGUCUGUGGCACAACGGCUGUUUCUAUAAAGUUGGGCAGUUCAGACUUUGCAAGGACAGUUGCUUCAGACUCACAGCCUAUACACUUACAUCAUGUCUUGCUGUCUUAUGCAGUGGAGUCUGGAGCUUCGCCAGCAUGCAGUGAACCAGAGAAGUGGAGAGACGUCCCAGCGGCCCACAGCUCUGACAACACCCUUCUAUCCCCCUCUGAAAUCUUUAUUUACUGCCCCCGCACUACUGCUCCCUCGCUGGGGCAAUUAAAGCAUCGUUGUGUCAGACGGUGAGGCGGCGCACCUUUAUGAGGAGUGUCUGUGAAAUAAAGUCAAACAGGACUGUGGAAUGACACAAGGAAAACCAUCCCGGCUAGUCCAAACAUGGGAGCGAUUCUCAGAUUUCAGACCCCCACCUUGUCUUUUGUGCCGAGUUCAGUGAGGCUCCUGGUUAGAAAUGUACACACGUCUAAUUUGAGUUAGAAGAUCUGUGAAUAACCCGAAAGGGAUCAAAUUAAAAUUCCAAGACGGGUGGAAAAAAAGCGAUAUGGGGUUUGAAAGUGGCCCCUGCUUCUUUAAGCUGGAUUUAAGUGAUCAAAGUUCCAUAUGAGGCAGCCAUUGGUGGUAUUGAGUUACUCUAAUGGCUGCCAUGUGCUACUGCCGACGGGCCCGAUCUGCGGACGUCUCAAGGGUGUCGGGCGCAAGACAGUUGUAAAAAGAGGCUUUACAAUAGAGAGAGCGGCAAAAAACCAGAUGCAUGGUGCACUUUCAGACCUCGCUCGCUGGAGAUACUCUGCAUUUUUUUCCGAAUUAGCUCCAGAUUUUUUGAAAGCAUCGAUCAAGGCGUCCGGCGGGUCUCUCAAGACCGUGCCACCCGACAGCGGCCCCCUCUCUAUUGCUUAUUUACUGAUGCGUGGCUUCCCCAUUCCCACUAAACUGCAGGAGACACAAGUGACAAUAAAAGUCAAACACUCGGUGGUUGCCGGAGUCCUGGCUGGUUAUUAGUAUGUAAAUGAAAUCAUCACAGCUGUUCUAUGCACGGAGAGGGGGAGAGAGGAGACAACGAACCCUGCAUUCUGAUGCUGUCUCCUGAACAACCAUCAGGCGCUGGCCACCUCUUCCAUACCCUGCAGUCAAGCACAUCCCGACCAACCCGACACAGCAACAUCAGAUCAACCAAUGGGAUGACUCUUGGAAUCAGACAGCGGUUAAACUUUCACGCCGAAGACGUGCAGACGUGAUCGCCAGAAUGUCGCACCUGAUUCCUGAGCCCAGAGGAGAAUUUUAGCGCUCAGAUGUUGCUCUUUCAAGGCUCCAGAGACUUGAAGGCAUCAUGAAAUUUACAUUAUUUACUUUUGCAAUGCAUGUCUGUGGUCUCAUCGUGCAUGAUUCAUCAGUACAUGCUGUUUGAAAGGACAAAAAGAAAAGCACUUCCAAACUGAAUUUCUCACAGGUUGCUCAUUCAUAUCUCAAAAGACCUAUUGGAAAUCCUAGUUAUAUUUCAUGAAAGUCCAUCUGUGCCGAAUUGCUCACAAGUUGCUCAUUCACAGCUCAAAUAAGGUUAUGUAGAUCCUAAUGCAAGUUUGCAAGCAUGCAAGUGUGUUUCAUGAAAAUUAUGGGUUUUUAUGCAUGUUUCAUGCAAAUACAAAAAUACAAAAAAAACAUUAAAUAUAUAAUAUAAAUAUUGCCUAAAAUAUAAAAAUACACACAAAUGAGUUGAAUUCAUAAUGAGAUUGAUAACAGACUUUGGUAUCUUGAUAUAUCUGAGUACAGUUUGAGACAUUGUUGUGAUCUCUUUUGCAAGAUGCAUGUGAGAUUUAUGUUGUUUUAUGAUUUAAGUAUCCAUUUGCUCUCGAUUUGUGGAUUUUUACAGGAAAGCCCAUCCAAACGGAAUUGAGCACAGGUUGCUCAUUCAUGACUCAAAAGUCCAAAUAGAGAUCCUAAUUAUGUUUCAUUUAAGUAUCAACUUGGUUUCAGAUGUUUCUUCUAAAAUUCCUUUGAAUAAAAAUAAAUCAGUCAAUACUCAAGUACAGAGCUAUAAAAUGAACAUGGACAGCGUAGUUCAAAUCAUAUGGUCUCUGAAUAUUUUGAUGAGAAAUGUUGGAGUUCACAUUGAGAUCUUCUGUGCAGGUGCCAUUCGGUUUUGGCACUUCCUUCCCGCGCCCAAGUAUCCAGCCGCAUGAUGGAUGAAGCAAGCGAAUUGCAGUGUGCAGUAUUUUGCCGCAGUUGAUUGCAAACUGACUCCGGGUAACAUAAUUAUUUACACUGACACAAUAAUGUAAAAUGAUUAACAUCCGCUCAUAUUCAUACCCAUAUAAAUCACUGGCCCACGUCGAGUUCAUCAUUCGGGGAGGGCCAGCGUCUCGCCCUGAGAUUGGAUGGCGGCCAGAUAAGAAGAGUAUUAAUCGUGGAGAAUAUGCCGCAUGGUCGUUUAAAACUUCGAGAAAAGAGAGGCCCUGGCAGAGUGUUUGGCAGAGCGAUGGUUUCUGGCUCCAGCGGGCAGCGCUCAAGAUGGAUUACCACCCUCCAAACGUCCACGUCCGCACCUGACUUCUCAACAUAGAUGUCCUACCUGUGCAUGAAAUAGGGCUUGACCGGCCAACAUGCACUUUUUCUACCCCUUUCUCCCCCAAAAUGAGAAUUACUGCUGGGAGGCUCUGGACAAUUUUAUGUAGGGCUGGAGAACAAAAAUCAAUAUUUAAUUAUCUGUGAGCGUUUGGUGUCACUACAUCUUUAGAUCUGUAGGGUGGAGUGGACAGGGUCACCGGGCCGGUAAGUGAGUCCGUCAGUGACGAGGCCGUCUCGUCCCAAGGCUCCGAUUGGCCUGUCUUCAAUCACCACAAGAGUGAUGACUGAUAAGUCAUUUAUUCGUCGACCUGUGUGUUUGGAGAAGGCCACCUUAAGAAUGAGCCUGCGUGACAUGCGUACAGUACGCUUGAAGUUAAAUAUGGUUUUGACCUAUCAGAAAUAUGGCUUAAAUGCCCCACCUAGAGGUAGGAUGGGACACUUACUGCUUUGGUGGGUGGAAUCCAAAGCAUGCAUGUUGAGAGGAGUGUGAAUUCAUUUUAGUAACCAAAGAGCGGAGCAUAAUACUUGUCAGUAUUUUAUUAUUUCCCAAUUUUAAUCAGAAAUAGGAAACAUGCCUGUUCAGUUAAGGACCAUUUGAUUCACAGUGGGCUCCCAAAGUCUGAGAUCCAUUG
Cyprinus carpio carpio is the source of this 3450-nucleotide long non-coding RNA. The record is from Ensembl. NCBI's taxonomy places the organism in Eukaryota, Metazoa, Chordata, Actinopteri, Cypriniformes, Cyprinidae.